RNAcentral lists this ribosomal RNA (252 nucleotides) under uncultured bacterium. Its description in RNAcentral is "partial 16S ribosomal RNA". It matches the Rfam family "Bacterial small subunit ribosomal RNA", at positions 524 to 776 of the family's 1533-position model. RNAcentral also lists the same sequence under 1 other name. The record is from RNAcentral.
UACGUAGGUCCCGAGCGUUGUCCGGAUUUAUUGGGCGUAAAGCGAGCGCAGGUGGUUUAUUAAGUCUGGUGUAAAAGGCAGUGGCUCAACCAUUGUAUGCAUUGGAAACUGGUAGACUUGAGUGCAGGAGAGGAGAGUGGAAUUCCAUGUGUAGCGGUGAAAUGCGUAGAUAUAUGGAGGAACACCGGUGGCGAAAGCGGCUCUCUGGUCUGUAACUGACGCUGAGGCUCGAAAGCGUGGGGAGCGAACAGG